This 69-nucleotide transfer RNA is filed under the name Tympanuchus cupido (greater prairie chicken). Its description in RNAcentral is "tRNA-Pro". It matches the Rfam family "tRNA". From Rfam's summary of the family: Transfer RNA (tRNA) molecules are approximately 80 nucleotides in length. Their secondary structure includes four short double-helical elements and three loops (D, anti-codon, and T loops). RNAcentral also lists the same sequence under 2 other names. The record is from RNAcentral. Lineage: Eukaryota; Metazoa; Chordata; Aves; Galliformes; Phasianidae.
CAGAAAAUAGUUUAUUUGAAAACAUCAGCUUUGGGAGCUGGAGAGAGAGGUUUAGUCCUUUUUUUCUGA